AGCAUAUCAAUAAGCGGAGGAAAAGAAACCAACAGGGAUUGCCUUAGUAACGGCGAGUGAAGCGGCAAUAGCUCAAAUUUGAAAUCUGGCGCUUGCGUCCGAGUUGUAAUUUGCAGAGGAUGAUUUUGGUUAGGUACCUUCCGAGUUCCUUGGAACAGGACGCCUUAGAGGGUGAGAGCCCCGUACGGUUGGAUGCCGAGCCUUUGUAAAUCUCCUUCGACGAGUCGAGUAGUUUGGGAAUGCUGCUCUAAAUGGGAGGUAAAUUUCUUCUAAAGCUAAAUACCGGCCAGAGACCGAUAGCGCACAAGUAGAGUGAUCGAAAGAUGAAAAGCACUUUGAAAAGAGGGUUAAAUAGCACGUGAAAUUGUUGAAAGGGAAGGAUUUAUGACCAGACUUUUUCUAGGAGGAUCAUCCGGUGUUCUCACCGGUGCACUUCUUCUAGUCUAGGCCAGCAUCGACUUUCGGCGGUGGAUAAAAGCUUUGGGAAUGUGACUCCUUUCGGGGAGUGUUAUAGCCUAUUGUAUAAUACACUGCUGGGGGUCGAGGUACGCGCUUCUGCAAGGAUGCUGGCGUAA
This 575-nucleotide ribosomal RNA is filed under the name Truncatella angustata. RNAcentral's name for it is "eukaryotic LSU rRNA". It matches the Rfam family "Eukaryotic large subunit ribosomal RNA", at positions 37 to 634 of the family's 3401-position model. Lineage: Eukaryota; Fungi; Ascomycota; Sordariomycetes; Amphisphaeriales; Sporocadaceae. The record is from RNAcentral.